Molecule: ribosomal RNA, 108 nt
Filed under: Faecalibacterium sp. Marseille-Q0746
Lineage: Bacteria; Bacillati; Bacillota; Clostridia; Eubacteriales; Oscillospiraceae
Description: partial 16S ribosomal RNA
Rfam family: Bacterial small subunit ribosomal RNA
Source: RNAcentral
UUUAUAAAGAGUUUGAUCCUGGCUCAGGACGAACGCUGGCGGCGCGCCUAACACAUGCAAGUCGAACGAGAGAGAGGGAGCUUGCUUCCUCAAUCGAGUGGCGAACGG